Molecule: long non-coding RNA, 381 nt
Organism: Rana temporaria (common frog)
Lineage: Eukaryota; Metazoa; Chordata; Amphibia; Anura; Ranidae
Exons: 3
Source: RefSeq, a predicted model, not a curated record
CAUCUCCAAAGAGGAAGUAUGCCCUCCAGGGGCCAGCUUAAAGUGGAGUUCCACCCAUUUUUUCAUGUUUGGCUGUGCUGCAUGUCCUUAGUGCCUAGAUUUCAUAAUGGACAAUCUCUUUUCUUUUUUUGUAUAGUAAAUACCUUUUCUGCCGUUUUAAAAGUCAGCUUCCUGGCUUAAUCACCUAGGCGAUUAAGGAAUAAGGUGAUUUGCAAGGGUUCUACAGCAGCCGUGAGGAAGGGAACUAAGAAUUUGGCUUUUGAGCAGAGGAUCGACAUCCGAUUCGGUUUCCUCCAUACUCUAAAACCAUUAUUUUCAGGUAUAUUUGGACAACUCUAAACCUUAUAAAAUGUCAUUAUAAUAAAAAUGUAUAUUCAUGUG